GACGAACGCUGGCGGCGUGCUUAACACAUGCAAGUCGAACGGAAAGGCCCUGCUUGCAGGGUACUCUAGUGGCGAACGGGUGAGUAACACGUGGGUGAUCUGCCCUUCACUUCGGGAUAAGCCUGGGAAACUGGGUCUAAUACCGGAUAGGAGCCAUUUUUAGUGUGAUGGUUGGAAAGUUUUUUCGGUGUAGGGUGAGCUCGCGGCCUAUCAGCUUGUUGGUGGGGUAAUGGCCUACCAAGGCGGCGACGGGUAGCCGGCCUGAGAGGGUGGACGGCCACAUUGGGACUGAGAUACGGCCCAGACUCCUACGGGGGGCAGCAGUGGGGAAUAUUGCACAAUGGGCGGAAGCCUGAUGCAGCGACGCCGCGUGGGGGAUGACGGCCUUCGGGUUGUAAGCUCCUUUCGCUAGGGACGAAGCUUUUUGUGACGGUACCUAGAUAAGAAGCACCGGCUAACUACGUG
This 465-nucleotide ribosomal RNA is filed under the name uncultured bacterium. Its description in RNAcentral is "partial 16S ribosomal RNA". It matches the Rfam family "Bacterial small subunit ribosomal RNA", at positions 28 to 507 of the family's 1533-position model. The record is from RNAcentral.